This 526-nucleotide ribosomal RNA is filed under the name uncultured bacterium. RNAcentral's name for it is "bacterial SSU rRNA". It matches the Rfam family "Bacterial small subunit ribosomal RNA", at positions 20 to 518 of the family's 1533-position model. The record is from RNAcentral.
UGGCUCAGGACGAACGCUGGCGGCGUGCCUAAUACAUGCAAGUCGAACGGUCUUUCUAUGGAAGCUUGCUUCCACUGAGAAGAUAGUGGCGAACGGGUGAGUAACACGUGGGUAACCUGCCCAUAAGAGGGGGGAUAACAUCCGGAAACGGGUGCUAAUACCGCAUAGUUUUCUUGAUCGCAUGAUCGGGAAAGGAAAGACGGCCUUUGUGCUGUCGCUUAUGGAUGGACCCGCGGCGUAUUAGUUAGUUGGUGAGGUAACGGCUCACCAAGACGAUGAUACGUAGCCGACCUGAGAGGGUGAUCGGCCACAUUGGGACUGAGACACGGCCCAAACUCCUACGGGAGGCAGCAGUAGGGAAUCUUCCGCAAUGGACGAAAGUCUGACGGAGCAACGCCGCGUGAGUGAAGAAAGGUUUUCGGAUCGUAAAACUCUGUUGUCAGAGAAGAACAAGUUGGAGAGUAACUGCUCCAGCCUUGACGGUAUCUGACCAGAAAGCCACGGCUAACUACGUGCCAGCAGCCGC